RNAcentral lists this ribosomal RNA (397 nucleotides) under uncultured archaeon. RNAcentral describes it as "bacterial SSU rRNA". It matches the Rfam family "Archaeal small subunit ribosomal RNA", at positions 426 to 822 of the family's 1478-position model. The record is from RNAcentral.
ACUGGUGAAGAAAGGGCCGGGCAAGACCGGUGCCAGCCGCCGCGGUAAUACCGGCGGCUCGAGUGGUGGCCACUAUUACUGGGCUUAAAGCGUCCGUAGCUGGAUUGUUAAGUCUCUUGGGAAAUCCACCGGCUCAACCGAUGGGCGUUCAGGAGAAACUGGCAAUCUAGGGACCGGGAGAGGUGAGAGGUACUCCAGGGGUAGGAGUGAAAUCCUGUAAUCCUUGGGGGACCACCUGUGGCGAAGGCGUCUCACUAGAACGGCUCCGACAGUGAGGGACGAAAGCUGGGGGAGCAAACCGGAUUAGAUACCCGGGUAGUCCCAGCUGUAAACGAUGCGCGUUAGGUGUAUCGGUGACCACGAGUCAUCGAGGUGCCGAAGGGAAACCGUGAAACGU